UGCGUAGGUGGGUAGGUAAGUCAGUGGUGAAAUCUUCAAGCUUAACUUGGAAACUGCCAUUGAUACUAUUUAUCUUGAAUACUUUGGAGGUAAGCGGAAUAUGUCAUGUAGCGGUGAAAUGCUUAGAUAUGACAUAGAACACCAAUUGCGAAGGCAGCUUACUACACAGUUAUUGACACUGAGGCACGAAGCGUGGGGAUCAAACA
RNAcentral lists this ribosomal RNA (206 nucleotides) under uncultured bacterium. RNAcentral's name for it is "partial 16S ribosomal RNA". It matches the Rfam family "Bacterial small subunit ribosomal RNA", at positions 568 to 774 of the family's 1533-position model. The record is from RNAcentral.